AUGACCCGACUUCCUCUUUGCAUAAGUGGAAGACAGUCUGUCUGCUUGCUUUUGCUCCAUAGACGUCGCAGACUUGCAGUGCCUCUGUGGCUGGAUUUGGUAGAGAACAGGGGACCAAGGCCAUUAGCCAUACAGGGGCCCAGCCGCUCUGGUGGUACGAGACAAGAGGCUUGGGACGGAAGCAGGAUCUGCCUCUUGUUGCCCACCUUUCCGCAUCCAGGAGCCGAGUGCAGACCAGUGUCUUUCCUCUGUAGAGUCCCUGGUGGAAGUCUGUCUGUCACACCGUGGUCAACAGCGUUGUUUCCAUGUCCGAGCAACCCUUAUGAACCAGAGCAGCAGGUUAGCUCUGGAUCCCUUUCCUGCUGCUGUUGAAUAGAACGUGGCUAUUCAUAAUAACCAGAUCCUUUGAGCUCCCACAAACAACUGUGCAAGGUAUGUGUUGUUAAUCCCGUUUACAGAUGACGAACCAUUUUUCUGUUCCCAGACAGAGCCUUUCACUGAAUGUCAUUCCGGCCUCAUCUCCCAGGAUCUCCAGCUGCCUAUAAUUUGCAGGGUCUAGGAGUGGUUCUCACCCUGCCUUGGUGGGCUGGAGGGAGUCACGAGGCUACUUGUUGUCAGCUCUGGAGAAAGAUGGAGAAGAGGUGGAAACAGAAGUACCUGUGUGGGUCAGGAUCUGGAUCCUAGAGGAGUGAGCAAGCUCCUGCCUCUCUGUGCUUUCACUUAAUUUGUGGGCUCCUGGAGGCUCCUGCGAUGUGGACCUCUGCCUGACGAGGGGCCAGCGUGCCCCAUUUCAUUAGCAGGCUCAGCACACCACGUUAGCUGGGCACCACUCGCCAUGACACGUGGAGUCAGAGAAAGCCCUCUCUGACUAAUUAACCUUGGGUUCUGGACACUAAGCAAAGUGUUAGGACAGUGAGUUAUUGACUCUGCUUCCUCCAAGAACGCGGCAGGGCUGAGGCCGGUUUGUCUGUUGUUUUGGUGGUAGCGGGUGGCGCCAGGGGUGGGCGCUCUGUUCCUGUUCUUGAUUGGCCUAGUCUUGGGAGAAUAGUACCUUAAAUGGACUGGCCUGGGUGGGCUCAGUAGUGUGGGCAAGCAUUUUAAAACCUUGCUAAGGGAGUUCCUGGUUGCCUAGUGGUUAGGAUUCGGUGCUUUCACUGCUGUUGCCCAGGUUCAAUCCUGGUCGGGGCAAGCUGCACGGUGUGGCCAAAAUUAAAUUUAAAAAUUAAAACCCUUGCUCACACCAGGUCAACAGCCCGUAAGAGCCACGAGGUUGACAUAUGCCCUUGCGAAAUCCAGUCUCCUGGCCACAUGAUGUCACCUGUUCCCAGGGGACAGCCUGAGACAUCCCGAGGACUCAGCAGGAGGAGAAGGACAUUAGAUGCCUCAGUUUUUCUUCUCCCGGGAUCCUCUGCCUCUUUUCUUAGGCCAGAAGGUCCCUCUCCUGCCCAGCUCUCCAUCCCUGGCCUGCCCCUCCGCCCCUGUAAAACCCAAACACACUGCCCUUUAAUCCUUCCGCCAGAACCCUCGGGCAGCGGCCACCGCCUCCUCCCAGCUCACCCCUGACCUGAUUUUGUGUUUUUGCCUUUUCUCAAACAGUCUGUUCAAGGUCUAGUCAUGAGCUGGAGGUUGGCUCAUAAGCAGCCUCUCUCCCCUGAGCUGUAAGGGAGGGGCAAUUCUGGAAAGUCAUUGACAGAGGCUUAACCCAGAACGUCACUUAUAAACAGGCAGCGGGCAGAGGGCCCAGACUUGGGUGUUCGCCCGGCACCGAGGACAGUGUGGCCUCCUGGGCCCUGCGGACCAGCUGCUGCGGUAAGGGGACCACCUCAGCACCUCCAGGUUGCUCUCCUGGGGCGUGCAUGCACUGUGGCCGCCGUUUCUCUCCUCUCUAGAAGUUGGCAGCCUUCUCAUACUUGGGAAAGGAGGCGGCAGGUGGGUUCUGGGGCAGGAACCGGGAGGGCUGGGCUGGACUGGUGGGGACACUGGUCAGGGGUGGGCAAAACCGAGGAGCCCGAGGAAGACAAACCCUACCGGCGGUCAGAAGGGGUUCUGCCCAAGACCUAGGGACAGAGGAAGAUGGACCAUGGGCCCUGGAGCUCUGGGCUAGAACGCCUUUGUGUGGUGGCUGCAUUUGGGGAAAGGCCACCUGGUUCCUUUGCCUGUGUCCCUUGCGGAGAUGGUGCAGCUGGUGGCAGUCAGGGGGCGUCCGCUCUGAGCACAGCACCAGGCCAGGGCCUGAAGCAGACACAUGCUGAGAUGCACGUCCUUGGCUCACUCGGGUCUGGAUGAAGAGCGCUGGAGCCCCGAGCCGGAAGGCCUGGCUCUCCUUAGGAGCCUGGGAAAGAUCAGCUCUCCUCUGGGCGUGAGUCUGUGAUUGUAUCCUAGACAGCAAUGAAUGGAAAGCAGGUGGCACCGCUUCCUGGGAGGCCAGCUUUCUGGCGUUUGAGCAGACUCACAGUUUAGGUGUAAGCAGGAGGACUUCUCCCAUUUGCUUAGAAGAAAACCUUUCCCUCAGUUUACGGGAGGAAAACAGAAACGGGCCCCAGAUGGCUUCUGGUUCUUAUCUUCAACUGCAAACAGGCCAAACUCUCCUCCAGGUCACAGGGUAAAGACUCAUGGAGAAGGAGACACUGGCUGUGUGUGUGUGUUUGUGUUUCAAGGAAUAGAUGAAGGGACGGACAUGCAGUUCCCUUUGUUUUGUCCCGAACUUCCCAGGAGCAGAAGUGAAUAAGGAAUGUGCCUUUUCUCCUAGUGUCCUGGACCAGGGAUGAAGGGAUGUGGUUCCUCUGACUUUAUUCUUGGUCAGGCAACUCAAGAGACGCCUGUCAUGAGGAGGAAUCAGAGAUGAGGCCGUCAGUACUUACUAAUCUGGAUGGAUCUGGAACAAUCUUGUUUGUGUAUUUGGUCUCCUGACUGGAAUGAAGUGUCAGUUUCAUGAUGGCAGGGACCUCUUCUCUCUGUCCAAGUGCCUGCUGCUACUGCUGCUGCUAAGUCGCUUCAGUCGUGUCCGACUCUUUGCGACUCCAUAGGCGACAGCCCACCAGGCUCCCCGUCCUGGGAUUCUCCAGGCAAGAACACUGGAGUGGGUUGCCAUUUCCUUCUCCAAUGCAUGAAAGUGAAAAGUGAAAGUGAAGUCGCCAGUCGUGUCCGACUCUCAGCAGCCUCAUGGACUGCAGCCUACCAGGCUCCUCCAUCCAUGGGACUCUCCAGGCAAGAGUACUGGAGUGGGGUGCCGUUGCCUUGGCGUGUUACAAACUCUCAAUCAAUAGCGAAUGAAUGAAUGAGUGCCUUUUCUUUGCUUCUCAUUUCACUGAACCUCUCCAACUUCAUUUUCUGUUGAUUCCAUGCCAGACUUUUCACUUGAUCAGCAUCUACUUGGUGAUGCCUGACCCUGACCCUAAACUAGUCAGGCUUGCAGGAAGAGGAGGCCCACCAACACCCCAGGUGCCAGGUGCUGCAACCUGCCAGGACCUCUCGAGUGGAUCCUUCCUCUGAGCACGAGUCAAAUCCCUCCCUGUGGCACCGUGCCCAGCUCUCCUUAGCUGCCUUCCGCCACCUCCUUUGCGUACACCAGUGUUAAAUAGUUCUUAUAUUUCAAACGUACUGGUCUUGUCUCCUCGCCAGACAGAAAGUUUCUUGAAGACACAGGUCAUGUUCUGUAUUAUCCUCUGUCCAUCGAGUAUGUGUUACAGGCAAUCAGUGCUUGAUAAACACUUGAUGGCUCUGGUUGUAUGAAAUCUAAUCAUUGAGGACAUUUCGCAGUUUACACUUUAUGAAACCAAGGGAUGGCCUGCAGUUUCAGAUACAACAGGUCACUCACUCAUCAGCCUUCUGUGUUGGGCAGAUUGUUGUUCCGCCGCUCAGUCGU
Long non-coding RNA from Bos grunniens (domestic yak), 3865 nucleotides. NCBI's taxonomy places the organism in Eukaryota, Metazoa, Chordata, Mammalia, Artiodactyla, Bovidae. The record is from Ensembl.